GUGCGGAUGAAUACUCUCUGCUUCUCGUGUAGCUUUAAAUUGUGGACAAACGCUUGCGAUUGUGAGCUCCCUACAACGGGCUGCCUCUGCGCAGGCUUCAUCAGCCAGGGCUGUCCAAUGGGAUUACCGUAAGCCUCCACGGCAGUCUGCCGGGCGCUGAUGAGCACUCCUCCCCCUGCACACUCUGUUAUUACCACUGGAUGCCACAAUCCUCUUGGAGAGAUAAGGAAAAUUCUGUUUUUUUUCAUAUAACUUCAUUGGAGCUUUUGCUGCUGAAAAAUGUAAGAACUUCCAAUUACAUUUUCAGAAAAAUUCAUCAUUUAUAAAAUUAUAUGCAGUUAAUUUAUAUAUAA
This 353-nucleotide long non-coding RNA is filed under the name Chinchilla lanigera (long-tailed chinchilla). RNAcentral describes it as "lncRNA (ENSCLAG00000022701.1)". The record is from RNAcentral. Lineage: Eukaryota; Metazoa; Chordata; Mammalia; Rodentia; Chinchillidae.